UUCAAGGUCAUUCUCUGCACAUAGUGAGU
This 29-nucleotide non-coding RNA is filed under the name Mus musculus (house mouse). Lineage: Eukaryota; Metazoa; Chordata; Mammalia; Rodentia; Muridae. The record is from RNAcentral.